This 229-nucleotide ribosomal RNA is filed under the name uncultured bacterium. RNAcentral describes it as "partial 16S ribosomal RNA". It matches the Rfam family "Bacterial small subunit ribosomal RNA", at positions 568 to 796 of the family's 1533-position model. The record is from RNAcentral.
UCCGUAGGCGGGCAAUUAAGUCAGAGGUGAAAUCCCACAGCUCAACUGUGGAACUGCCUUUGAUACUGGUUGUCUUGAGUUAUAGUGAAGUAGAUAGAAUAUGUAGUGUAGCGGUGAAAUGCAUAGAUAUUACAUAGAAUACCGAUUGCGAAGGCAGUCUACUAACUGUACACUGACGCUAAUGGACGAAAGCGUGGGGAGCGAACAGGAUUAGAUACCCUGGUAGUCC